RNAcentral lists this ribosomal RNA (253 nucleotides) under uncultured bacterium. Its description in RNAcentral is "partial 16S ribosomal RNA". It matches the Rfam family "Bacterial small subunit ribosomal RNA", at positions 524 to 776 of the family's 1533-position model. The record is from RNAcentral.
UACGUAGGGUGCAAGCGUUGUCCGGAAUUAUUGGGCGUAAAGAGCUCGUAGGCGGUCUGUCACGUCGGCUGUGAAAACCCAGGGCUCAACCCUGGGCCUGCAGUCGAUACGGGCAGACUAGAGUCCGGCAGGGGAGACUGGAAUUCCUGGUGUAGCGGUGAAAUGCGCAGAUAUCAGGAGGAACACCGGUGGCGAAGGCGGGUCUCUGGGCCGGAACUGACGCUGAGGAGCGAAAGCGUGGGGAGCGAACAGG